CAAUUAUCUAGCCUGGCCCAGAGGAGGAGUUUUGUGUUGCAUAAAUUGUGAGUUCUGUGUGCCAGUAAAUCAGUCUUGUUCCAGCAUUAAGCCUUGGCUCAUUUUUGGGGGAUUGGAGAAAUACACUCUGGGGAUUGCUAUAAUCACUAUACUCCCCAGGGUAUGAUCACUAAGUUCUGCUAAGAGCUUGUUCCUGUUCCUGCUCUCUGGGGAAAGAGAGGUUCACCC
Pelobates cultripes (western spadefoot toad) is the source of this 228-nucleotide non-coding RNA. NCBI's taxonomy places the organism in Eukaryota, Metazoa, Chordata, Amphibia, Anura, Pelobatidae. The record is from the annotation of a GenBank genome assembly.